RNAcentral lists this ribosomal RNA (433 nucleotides) under uncultured bacterium. Its description in RNAcentral is "partial 16S ribosomal RNA". It matches the Rfam family "Bacterial small subunit ribosomal RNA", at positions 29 to 507 of the family's 1533-position model. The record is from RNAcentral.
AACGAACGCUGGCGGCAUGCCUAACACAUGCAAGUCGAACGAGACCUUCGGGUCUAGUGGCGCACGGGUGCGUAACGCGUGGGAACCUGCCCUUAGGUUCGGAAUAACUCCCCGAAAGGGGUGCUAAUACCGGACAAUGUCUUCGGACCAAAGAUUUAUCGCCUUUGGAUGGGCCCGCGUUGGAUUAGCUAGUUGGUAGGGUAAAAGCCUACCAAGGCGACGAUCCAUAGCUGGUCUGAGAGGAUGAUCAGCCACACUGGGACUGAGACACGGCCCAGACUCCUACGGGAGGCAGCAGUGGGGAAUAUUGGACAAUGGGCGAAAGCCUGAUCCAGCAAUGCCGCGUGAGUGAUGAAGGCCUUAGGGUUGUAAAGCUCUUUUACCCGGGAUGAUAAUGACAGUACCGGGAGAAUAAGCUCCGGCCAACUCCGUG